GAUGAAGAACGCAGCGAAAUGCGAUAAGUAGUGUGAAUUGCAGAAGUACCGUGAAUCAUCGAAUCUUUGAACGCAAAUUGCACUCUCUGGUAUUCCGGGGAGUAUUCCUGUUUGAGGGUCGCUUAACAAACCAUCGAUUUCGUUGCUUUUUUUUUUUUAAAAAAGUGAUGUUUAUCGGAUUUGAGCCGUCUUUUUUUUUAUAUUUAAGUGGCUUAAAAUUGAUUUUUUUGGUACGAUCGAAGCGUAUUUUUAUGAUCAAUUUUUGGUUAAAGAAACGCACACGUACCGUUAUUUAUAUGAUGUAAUACGUUUGACUAUUGGAUUUAGUUCAUUCGUAUACGAUAUUUUUCAAUAUUUGACCUCAAAUCAGGUAAGAACACCCGCUGAACUUAAGCAUAUCAAUAAGCGGAGGA
Molecule: unclassified non-coding RNA, 413 nt
Filed under: soil metagenome
Description: partial contains 5.8S ribosomal RNA, internal transcribed spacer 2, and large subunit ribosomal RNA
Rfam family: 5.8S ribosomal RNA (bases 1-121)
Source: RNAcentral